AUUGAACGCUGGCGGCAGGCUUAACACAUGCAAGUCGAGCGGUAGCACAGGGGAGCUUGCUCCCUGGGUGACGAGCGGCGGACGGGUGAGGAAUGUCUGGGAAACUGCCUGAUGGAGGGGGAUAACUACUGGAAACGGUAGCUAAUACCGCAUAACGUCGCAAGACCAAAGAGGGGGACCUUCGGGCCUCUUGCCAUCAGAUGUGCCCAGAUGGGACUAGCUAGUAGGUGGGGUAAUGGCUCACCUAGGCGACGAUCCCUAGCUGGUCUGAGAGGAUGACCAGCCACACUGGAACUGAGACACGGUCCAGACUCCUACGGGAGGCAGCAGUGGGGAAUAUUGCACAAUGGGCGCAAGCCUGAUGCAGCCAUGCCGCGUGUGUGAAGAAGGCCUUCGGGUUGUAAAGCACUUUCAGCGAGGAGGAAGGUGGUGAGCUUAAUACGUUCAUCAAUUGACGUUACUCGCAGAAGAAGCACCGGCUAACUCCGUG
Molecule: ribosomal RNA, 490 nt
Filed under: uncultured bacterium
Lineage: Bacteria
Description: partial 16S ribosomal RNA
Rfam family: Bacterial small subunit ribosomal RNA
Source: RNAcentral